Molecule: non-coding RNA, 80 nt
Filed under: chicken gut metagenome
Description: Glycine riboswitch
Rfam family: Glycine riboswitch aptamer
About the family: This family represents the bacterial glycine riboswitch.
Source: RNAcentral
GGCUCUGGAGAAACCCGGUUUCGGGUGCCGAAGGUGUAAGGCGUACGCGCCGAUCUCUCAGGCAAAAGGACAGAGAGGAA